RNAcentral lists this ribosomal RNA (623 nucleotides) under uncultured Geobacteraceae bacterium. Its description in RNAcentral is "bacterial SSU rRNA". The stretch from base 1 to 549 matches the Rfam family "Bacterial small subunit ribosomal RNA", at positions 9 to 546 of the family's 1533-position model. The record is from RNAcentral. Lineage: Bacteria; Pseudomonadati; Thermodesulfobacteriota; Desulfuromonadia; Geobacterales; Geobacteraceae.
GAGUUUGAUCCUGGCUCAGAACGAACGCUGGCGGCGUGCUUAACACAUGCAAGUCGAACGUGAUUGAGAGCUUGCUCUCAUGAAAGUGGCGCACGGGUGAGUAACGCGUAGAUAAUCUGCCUGAUGAUCUGGGAUAACACUUCGAAAGGGGUGCUAAUACCGGAUAAGCCCACGGAGUCUUUGGACUUUGCGGGAAAAGGGGGGGACCUUCGGGCCUUCUGUCAUCAGAUGAGUCUGCGUACCAUUAGCUAGUUGGUAGGGUAAAGGCCUACCAAGGCUACGAUGGUUAGCUGGUCUGAGAGGAUGAUCAGCCACACUGGAACUGAGACACGGUCCAGACUCCUACGGGAGGCAGCAGUGGGGAAUUUUGCGCAACGGGCGAAAGCCUGACGCAGCAACGCCGCGUGAGUGAUGAAGGCUUUCGGGUCGUAAAGCUCUGUCGAGGGGAAAGAAGUGUAUUAGGGCUAAUAUCCCUGAUACUUGACGGUACCCCUAAAGGAAGCACCGGCUAACUCCGUGCCAGCAGCCGCGGUAAUWCAAGCRCGCAUUGGGAACAUAUCCGACCCAYGAKGCSGCCUCCWCWGGCCGUCUUURGACARCCAAUGAAACAGCUAGAKACUUCC